GUGGGGAACUCCUCACUGUCUGGUAGUGCAGGAGCCACAAAAAGGAUUUUCAUCAAAAUAUUCUCUUCUCAUGGUCCUGCAGGCUUAAAGGCAGAAAAGAUGAGGAGAUCAAGGGCACUCUCAGCAGAACUCUGCAAACUGCCAUAAUUCAAAAGAUUUGAAAUUUGUGUGCCCAGCAUCCAAGGACCUGUUGCAGAAACAACAUAAGAUGCAAGUGGCUGCACUUGCUUCCCACUGCUCCCUACGUGCAUCUGAAGAAAUCAGACUGGAGAUACAGAAGUUGAAAUCGAUUGAUAAUUGCUUUAGUAUGACUUCUCUUGCUUUUUCCAGGGUGAGCCCUGUGCUGUUUCAGAGGCACAGAGGAGGAAAGCAGAAGCUUUAAGGGAGUGGUUUGUCCUUCCCUCCCUGCUUAUUUCUUUGAUUUUGUGCAGGGUUUUAAUUUCACAAGCCCAUUGAGAGGAGAGGCAGAUGAGAUCAGAAAGGGAUUUCUAGGAUGAACACAGGGAUCACCUAGGAGAAUCCAUCUGAUGCCCUAAUGACAGACACAUUUUUGAACAAUCAACCUGAAGAAUUGUUUAAUGAAUACUAGAUUAUAUUAAAUAUACAGGUUGCAUCUAAAGCCUGACUAAAGCAACUGGAUACUAACAGUUAUUUUUCUUUAGAAAAAAAUUAAAACCAAACUGAAGACUACUGAGUUUAUGUUGUUUCUCCUGAUAUUCCCCUCUGCUGACUUGAGAGCAAGUUACUCACUAUAAAACCCUCCCAAAGCCAAGUGCUGGUUUCAGUGAAAUGCAGAAGAAAAGCAGGAGGCAAAGAGCCAUGCUGGUAAAAUUCCCAGGUAUCAGCCUUGUGCAGAGAGCUGUCGCAGCAGCGAUUAGCGAGGUCCAGAGCCCUGUCCCCUGGUUUUAGGGCUCCUCAGCUGAGUUUCCUGCCUAUGAUCGAUCUUGCAAACCACCACAGCGUGGCACUGUGACAUUCCAGCUGCAAACCUGGGUUUAUUUCCCUGCAGCCAGGCUCCGGACACAGCCCCCAAACAGCACCCGGGCUGGGGGACGGGGCCCCUAAAGCAGCUGGGGCGUUCUGCAGCUCUGCAGAACGCCCCAUCCCCAUCCCCUCCAAGCGUGGAUCCCACUCCAGAGGCUCCUGGGCUCCCACUUUGCAGGAAUGCCUGUGGGAACAAGGGGGCAAUCCCAGUGCUGGGUGACUGACAGCAGCUGUGCUUUGGGACUGUGGAAAGGGAAUAAUGGCUGCUUUUCCUUGGCUCUUAAAAUAACCCCAUCCUAGAGCUAAUAUUUUGUAUUCAGUGAAACGCUUCUGACAAACCAAUACUUUCUAUCUGAAAAUAAAAAACAAAUUUUCAAAGAGCUCCACCCUCAACAGCCCCAUGGACAUACACAAAAUCCUGGCCCACUCCAAUGAGUAUUUCUGUACCACUGCAAAAUAUUUUCUGAGACCCUUCGAAUUCUGAAGAAUUUGUACUUGUAGAUCAUGGAAUGAAACAAAACAACCAUUCAGCAUUCUCAGAAUGGUCUGAAAUAAAUAUUGCAGCCAGCAGGACUGCAAAAAACCCAUUUAUUCUAGAAAGUGUCACACAGGUUUUGUUGAUUGGUGGCCAACCAAAGCCUUCCAAAGUGGUUUGUGGGUUGGUUUGGUUACUUUCUUCUUCAUAUUAAUAUAAUAUACUCUCAUCUAUUAAUGGCUGUAGCCAUUCUACCCCUGUCUCUAAAGGUGGCAGGAAUUGCAAUGAACUGUUCAGGGCCCUGUCACAGCACUACUGCAUCUGUCUCGUGGCUCUCAAUUGAAAUACUGAUCAAGUCUGGCCCUACUGAAUUUUUACAAUUAAAGUUUCAAGGUGACAUACUAUGGCAUAACAUUAAGCAUAGAUUUCAUUUGUCCUUCAUUAAUAAUCAACCUUACAGUCAAAUAUCCAUUAACAUGAACUGCAUAAUAAAAUCAACAACAAUUUCAAAUGAAUUCCCAUAUGAACAAAACAUUUCAAAUGCUUAAUAUUUCACACUCUUCUCGCACCAGAUAGAGUUCAGUAGCAGUCUAGGCCUUUGAAAUCUUCAUAAUGCUUUUUAUCUUUUGAAAUGAAACAUUUCCCUUAGACUUUCAUAUCACCCCUAUUACUUUACAUCAGUGCCAAGUCAAUUCCCCUUCUGGAUUUCAUCUUUCCUCUCAUAUCUCUUUUGCCAUUUAGCAAACAACAUCCUGUCUCUGGAUCUUCUCAGGGUAUUUACUCACAAAAAAAAGGACACUGUUCUAACCAAAAUUAGCAGAAUCAGAACAAAGGCAGCUCUCAUCUGCUUCAUGGGCUGGCAUGUGCAAUAAGUGAAAAUACAGAGAUAGAAGUACAUCAAACACAAUUAACAGCUUGUUUGCUACAUAGAACUUAACUUGGCAAUGCAGGCCCUCUAGUAUCACCCACUGGUGUACUGCAUUAUUAUAAAUAUAAUGUAAUAUGUACAUUUACAUCUUCAACAAUGUAAAUUUAUGUCUUUUUCCCUGUCCUGUAGAAUUUUUAUUUUCCCAAGCAAGAAGGCUUACAACCCUCUUUGCUCAUAUAACCUGGUGCUAUUCUGUUCAGGAGCACAACAGUCCAAAGAACAAAAAUCCCAGCCAUUAUCAUUAUUAAUAAAGAAAAAUUUUCCAAUUGUGACUGGAACCUUUUAAGAUUUUAGAUUGAGCUGCUUUUCCUGGUGGGGAGCAGUGUGAUUGCUUGUAUUCUGGGGAGUAGAGGUGACUUUGUCAUGCUCAAAAUCUGCGCUUUUUGAUGUUAACUAACUUCCUAUAAAACCCUGUGAAUGCCAGAUAAGGAGGCUUUUACCUGAGAGCAGCUAAGUCUGAUAAGUGAGGUGUUUGAUUAAGCUCAACUAAGAUUAGGAGAAAGUUAUUGAUGCCUUAUCUCUAAAGGACUAUUCAGUUCAACAGCUAUCUCAGUGAGAAGCUGUCCUUUUUCUCUCCCUGACAAAGCCACAAUCUAACCAUUUUAAAUCCAAUCCACUUACAGCACUCAGACAAUGCUCUUCAUUUACUAUAGCUGAAGUUGCCACAUUCCCAUGGCAGACUAGGACAAUGUUUAUUACAAGAUCUAGAAUGGAUAUUCUGUGGAAUUCUCAGGCACUAAACACUUUAGACAAUAAAGGUUUCCCAACAUUUCUCUGUCUUGAGAGGAAAGCACAAUUUUUAAAGUACUGCUUCCAUUACAUAAUGCUCCUCUGAACAUAAAGCAGAGCAAUUUCCCAGUACUUUAUAAAAUCUAUUCCUUUAGGCUACCAUUUACAUCCUAGGAAUUACAGCCAUAUCAAGCAUUUGCAUGGAGAUCAUUAAUAUUUAACGUGGGACAUAGAACUGAAUCAACUGAAACAAUCUGCACUCACAGAAGGCCACAGCACCCUCCUUCUGUGCCCUUCUGCAGCAGCAGUGAAUCCCCUCUCCCCACUGAUGGCUCUUUGGAGUGGUGGUUACUGUUUUAAUUCAAAGUUUGCAAGUCUCCUGUUGCUUAGACAGCCACUCCAAGAGAGGAGUCCCGGAUCCCAGGUGUGUUUUAUGAAAAUGUUGGCACUGCUGAGCACGGACAGAGCAAAGCACCAGACCCUGGACCCCUGUGCUGUGUGACCAAAACCUCUCCUCUCCUCCCUGCAGCCCAGGGGCCCUGAACUGGGACUGAGCCAGGGCCAGUCCUCCAUGCCCAGCACUCCUGGUCACGUUCCUGCCCCCCCAGCUCCCUGCUCAGGGCAUCUGCUGCUUGCAAAUCUCAUACCAAGGUGCCCAGUUCCCAAAAUAUUGCCCAUCUAAUGAGCAGUUCUCAUUUGCAAACUUCAGUAUGCCUUUGGGCAGACCCAAACUUCUUGGGAGCUUGAUUUAUUUCUGCUGGAAUGAUGUGAGACCACACUUGGACUUUCAGUGAACUUGACCUUCUCUCCUGCUGUAAAUUGCCUGACACACUGCUGGAAGUACAGAGACUUUGUCAAGAAACUGUAAUUAUCAAAAUGCAUGAAACUGGAGAUACAAUUUGCACUUGUUCAUCACACCAUUCCAUUUUCAUACUGUUGUAUUUUUUCUCAUUUUAAUUGAGUUCCUAUGCUGCAAAUUAGUCUCAUAGUGCUCCUGCCUUGUUCUGGCUUAAAGCAGACAUACAUGAGGUAUCCCACUGAAAAAGCUAAAUUCUUUCUGCGAGGGAUAUUUAACUUUCCUUGCUAAUUCCACUGCUAAUUUAACCAAGUUUUACUGUUAGUUCUCAAUUCUUUUCCAGACCAUGCCUUUUUGCAACAUGCAAAAGUGAAUGUUAAAACCCCCACCCUAGUAUUGUGGCUGUCUGCUGUGAAUAGACUUGUGAGAUGAUAAUGACAAAAAUGCAGAUGUGGUCUCUGGAAUUUGUGCAGAGAGCUGACUUUGUUUCCUGAUCCAAAACUUUUAAAUGAAGCAACCAUUCCUUUGGCAAAACCAUCGUGGUGACACUUUCCACUGUGACAGCCACCAGGGACUUUGGGGUUCAGUGAAGCACAGGGAGCUACUAAACCACUGCAAGGAAAGCAGGAAAUUCCUGCAGCGCUUAUUUGCUAAAUAUAGCCUGGGUUUAAUUUGUCCAUUCAAUCCUUUCUCAUCCUGGGGAGGCAGAAGUUAAUUUGUUUUACAUGCAAGCAGCAACCAUUUGGGUCAGCCUGAAGAAACCAUUUUGGACUGUCAACAUGCAUCUAGGGGAGCCCUGAGACAGAGUGGGAGACAAAUUGACCAAACGUUGAUUUAUAACAACAGUCAGCCAGAGAAAGCAGAAAUGUGAAAACAGUGCAAGCAGAGUGUGAAACCCAAACCUGAACUGUCAGGGAACUGAAAGAACAACCAGAUGCUUUCUGCAGUGACAUAAAUCGAAGCAGAAGUCACCAGGCAGAGAUAUAAGCAAUGCUACCACAACACGUAAAUAAUCUGACUCACUCUAAAAGAGUUGUUCUGUGGUGCUGAAACCAACUGCUGGUUGCAUAAAUCACAUCCCCCUCAGACACAAACAGGGUAGGACACACAUUCUUCGGAGAGAGGAAACGAUACCACAGAGCUGGAGUAAUCUCUCUUGCUGGAAAUGCAAUCUAGGACAAAGAAAUUGUCACAUUCUGGGUCUGAAAGAGUACCAGUGGAUUAGAGAGUAGCUCCUGCUGGCACUACUCUUUCAAUUUAUCCCCAAGUAUCACAUGAACAUUACUGUUACUGCUUCCAUUCUGCAUUAAGAGAUGAAGAAAUUGGUUACAGACCAGCGAGAGACCAUUCAAACAAAUGAGCAGCUAAAAACGACAGAGGCAACAACUCCUUAGUGUACAAGUUACAGCGUUCCAGGAUGCAGGAACUUAUAUUUAAUUCUACAGCUGACUGUAAGUCUAUUGUUCCUGUAAGUCAACAGCUAUCAUUAAGUAACAACCAUUUAAAAGUAUCUGCAAUCUUCUGAGCUUCAGAGCGCAGAACAGAGAUAUUCUAUUCUUAUGUCACAUUGCAAGGUCAUCUUCCAAACCGAAGCUUAUGUACAAGCACCUUGUGAACCUCAUUCUGAAAUAAUUGUAUCACUACUAAAUGUUCACAAUCAAAGGUUUCAAGUAUGUGAAAGCUAAUUUUGAAAAGAGUAUCUCCAAAAGCUGAGAUCUACCUGGAACACCUCUAGCCUCACCAUGCACUUAUGAAGUCUGCUUAAACUCACCUGCACUAUUUUCAUUAUUAAAAUAAAAAAAAAAUAAAGAAAGAAUUGUGCAAACCUUUACAUUAAAAUGUAUCUAAAAAUGUCAUCUCCUAGCCCUUCUGAAAGGCUAGCACACAUUGAUUAACUAAAUUAGUUAUUGCCUUUGUGUAAGAAGCAAAAGCAAAAGAAAAACCCACUCAUUUUCCUCAAACUUUUCAAACUUGGAGACAGGCACUGGACUCUGCAGGGAAACAUCUUCUCUCAGAGCAAACACCAAUUCAGUAAACAAGAGAAAGGAGUAACAAAAUGCUUGGCUAUAUCUCACUUUCUUUUCCACUUGUUUGCUUUGUUCAUUCUUUAAUGCAAAAAAUAAAAGAUACUUUCUCUAUGUGCCUUUUUCAUAUAAAAAUACAAAUAUAUACAAAGAGAAAACAUUAUUGGGAAAAGAGAACACACUGCAAUCUUACUGUGUUUUAG
Long non-coding RNA from Passer domesticus (house sparrow), 6139 nucleotides. RefSeq lists it as uncharacterized. The record is from RefSeq and is a predicted model, not a curated record. The transcript is spliced from 3 exons. NCBI's taxonomy places the organism in Eukaryota, Metazoa, Chordata, Aves, Passeriformes, Passeridae.